RNA transcript from Hemibagrus wyckioides, 7095 nucleotides. It is a transcript of the gene named sialoadhesin-like, with no coding region annotated. The transcript is spliced from 16 exons. The record is from RefSeq and is a predicted model, not a curated record. Lineage: Eukaryota; Metazoa; Chordata; Actinopteri; Siluriformes; Bagridae.
AACUUUUAUAAAAUGUUUUUAUAAAAGUUCACUCAUUUGACGUAUUAUGAAACAAACCAUUCUAAAUAUUCAAAUAAAUGAGGAAGGAAACUAAGUGAAUCUGCCCCAAGUUUCCAUUUCAAUGCAAACAAGACACAAGACAAGAGCUCACUGGAAAAAAGGGGUGAUGCAGCUAUGCUGAUUAGGAAAAGAACAUUUUCCGCAGCAGCAACUCUCAUGCUGAUGUUGUCAGGAGUGCUGGCCAAUCCCAGUGUAACACUUCACUUACAAAGUCUCUGUGCUGUUACUGGAUCUACAGUAAAAAUACCGUGUUCAUAUUCAAAGGCAUAUUCUGUGAAACAGAAACAGUGGUAUCGAGCCCAGAGGUUUAAAGGACUACCACAAGACCUGAGAAAAGAUCCAGAAUACUCAGGACGAGUGUUUGUAAACACCUGGUGGUCUGACUGUGAACUAACAGUGAAGAAUGUGAGAGUGAGUGACUCUGGAGUUUAUAACUUUAGAAUUAAAACACAAAGCAGCUGGAUAUCAGCCUCAUCUGGAGUUCAACUGACUGUUACAGGCCUGAAGGUUACAGUAUCAGGCCAGUACAACUGGAAGAGGCUGAGCUGUGCCACCACCUGCAAUCUUUCUAACAAACCCAUUUAUAUCUGGUACAAGAAUGGACAGCGUGUUAGUGAACAGUACAUAAAUGAACUGGAUGUCAGUAGUUGGGAAGCAGGCAGCUACUCCUGUGCUGUAAAAGGACAUGAGGAGCUUCGCUCUCCUGCUGUCUGUGUUUUUGAUAAGAGCUGCUGGAGUGUGACUUACUCCACCCAGACUAUCUGCUCUCUGAUUGGCUCAUCAGUAGACAUACACAGUUAUUACACCUUUCCUAAUAAUUACCAGGUCACAAAAGUAGAGUGGUUCAUUAAUGAACUUGAGGAUGUGAGAGAGGAUGUAGAGUAUCAGGAUCGAGUGCAGUACACAAACAGCUCCCAGAAUGACUGUAGUCUGAGAAUCACUGACCUGAGAGAGAGAGACGCUCAAACAUACAGGUUCAGAUUCCACACUGAUCGAGUCACACACACUGGUGAAUCAGGUGUCACUCUGUCUGUCACAGGCCUGAAGGUUACAGUAUCAGGCCAGUACAACUGGAAGAAGCUGAGCUGUGCCACCACCUGCAGUCUUUCUAACAAACCCAUUUAUAUCUGGUACAAGAAUGGACAGCGUGUUAGUGAACAGUACAUAAAUGAACUGGGUGUCAGUAGUUGGGAAGCAGGCAGCUACUCCUGUGCUGUAAAAGGACAUGAGGAGCUUCGCUCUCCUGCUGUCUGUGUUUUUGAUAAGAGCUGCUGGAGUGUGACUUACUCCACCCAGACUAUCUGCUCUCUGAUUGGCUCAUCAGUAGACAUACACAGUUAUUACACCUUUCCUAAUAAUUACCAGGUCACAAAAGUAGAGUGGUUCAUUAAUGAACUUGAGGAUGUGAGAGAGGAUGAAGAGUAUCAGGGUCGAGUGCAGUACACAAACAGCUCCCAGAAUGACUGUAGUCUGAGAAUCACUGACCUGAGAGAGAGAGACGCUCAAACAUACAGGUUCAGAUUCCACACUGAUCGAGUCACACACACUGGUGAAUCAGGUGUCACUCUGUCUGUCACAGGCCUGAAGGUUACAGUAUCAGGCCAGUACAACUGGAAGAAGCUGAGCUGUGCCACCACCUGCAGUCUUUCUAACAAACCCAUUUAUAUCUGGUACAAGAAUGGACAGCGUGUUAGUGAACAGUACAUAAAUGAACUGGAUGUCAGUAGUUGGGAAGCAGGCAGCUACUCCUGUGCUGUAAAAGGACAUGAGGAGCUUCGCUCUCCUGCUGUCUGUGUUUUUGAUAAGAGCUGCUGGAGUGUGACUUACUCCACCCAGACUGUCUGCUCUCUGAUUGGCUCAUCAGUGGACAUACACAGUUAUUACACCUUUCCUAAUAAUUACCAGGUCACAAAAGUAGUGUGGUUCAUUAAUGAACUUGAGGAUGUGAGAGAGGAUGUAGAGUAUCAGGGUCGAGUGCAGUACACAAACAGCUCCCAGAAUGACUGUAGUCUGAGAAUCACUGACCUGAGAGAGAGAGACGCUCAAACAUACAGGUUCAAAUUCUACACUGAUCGAGUCACACACACUGGUGAAUCAGGUGUCACUCUGUCUGUCACAGGUCUGCAGGUUACAGUAUCAGACUGGUACAAUGGAUACAAGAAGCUGAACUGCAUCACCACCUGCACUCUGUCUAACAACCCCACUUACAUCUGGUACAAGAAUGGACAGCGUGUUACUGACCAGUACAGAAAUGAACUAUAUUUCCUAAGUAACGAUGCAGGCAGCUACUCCUGUGCUGUAAGAGGACAUGAGGCGCUUCAUUCUCCUGCUGUCUAUUCCCCUAAAAACACCAGUGCAGUGGUUCUUCCCUCUGGAGACACAGUGGAGGGGGAUUCAGUGACUCUGAGCUGUAGCAGUGAUGCAAAUCCUCCUGUUCUCACCUACUCCUGGUUUAAGAAGAGUGCAGCUGCAGACACACGGCUGACAACAGGCCAGGAUUACAGCAUCAGCAACAUCAGCUCACAGGACAGUGGACUGUACUACUGCACUGCUGACAACCAGCUGGGACACCACACCUCUACACCAGUACACUUGGAUGUGUUAUAUCCCCCUAAAAACACCAGAGCAGUGGUUCUUUCCUCUGGAGACAUAUUGGAGGGGGCUUCAGUGACUCUGAGCUGUAGCAGUGAUGCAAACCCUCCUGUUCUCACCUACUCCUGGUUUAAGCAGAGUGCAGCUGCAGACACAAUGCUGACAACAGGCCAGGAUUACAGCAUCAGCAACAUCAGCUCACAGGACAGCGGAUUGUACUACUGCACUGCUUGCAACAAGCCAGGACACCACAACUCUACACCAGUACACUUGGAUGUGUUAUACCCGCCACGAAACCUAUCUGUGACCGUCAUUUCAUCCAUGUCUGGUGAUAUGGGCACACUGUUGUGCAGAAGUGACUCCAACCCCAACAGCUCUUACACUUGGUACAGGAAAACAAAAGGGGGUGUCAUAUUAGUUGGAAAUGGUACCAAUUUAACUUUAUCCUCAAGAGAAAAUGGAUUUCACUACUGUACAGCAAAGAAUGGCUUUGGAUCAUCCAGUUCAUCAGAAUGGGCAUAUACAUCAGGUAGCAGAACCAUGAAAUAUGUGGCCUCUGGAUUCACUCUUGCAUUGGUUUUGUCAUUUAUUGCUGUCAUUCUAUGGAUGAGAUAAGAUUGAAAUCUGGGGAAUCUGAAGGCCAAGUCAGCAACUUUUUUUAUGUUCCUCAAAUCACUCCUGAACAAGGGCUCCUUAUCCUGCUGAAAGAGGCCGCUGAGAUUAGGAAAUACCGUGCCAUGAAGGGUUGUACUUGGUGUGCAACAAUGUUUAGGUAGGUGGUAUGUGUCAAAAUAACCCCCACAUGAAUGUCAGAACCUAAGAACAUUUCCCAGAGCAUCACAGUGGCUUGCCUUCUUUCCCAUAGUGCAUCUUGGUGUUAUCUUUUCCCCAAGUAAGCAACACACACAAACAAGCAUCUACAUAAUGUAACAAAAAAUGUGAUUUCUCAGUGUGGAUAUGCCACUUUUUAGCCAGGCCACUGCAUAACACUUUGUUUGGUCGCAACAAGAUCACAACCCAGAAGACUGCAUGCAAACCUAAAAAAACAACAGAUAGGUAAUACCAAAAAAAAAAAAUAAUAAUAAUCAAACAGCAACAAUUUGUGUAUAUGUGUGUUGUGACACUUGCUAGCAGCAAGGUGAACAUGGAGAGUCAGGGAUUCAGGGAAAAUAGUGCACUUUAAUUGAAAACAAGGUGAAACAAAAGGAAAAGAAAAGGUGUCACUCUGUGGAAGAUGCAGGUGAGGGGUCUUCAGUGCAGAGUGGGUGAAGCGGCUGGGCAGUGAAUCAGCAAGGCAGACCCUAGGGGGCUUAAGCUUGGCAGGUUGGAGAGCAUUGUCCUCUUCACAGCAUAGUCUUUGAAAUACAAACAGGCAGAGAGAGUGUGUUGCAUUAGGCAUCACCCAGGACUCAACUCUUACCUUGGUAACCAUACCUGUAAAUAUCUCCUCACCCCUCUCCAGGCCACAAACUGCCCAGGUACUGAGACAGGUAGUUAGCUACUACAUUUUGGGUCCCUGGACGAUGUUUAACCUUGAAGUUAUACAGCUGCAGGGAGAGAAACCAUCUGGUCACCUGAGAGUUAUCUUGGAUCCAUGUCAGGGCUCGGUGAUAUGUCUCCAACAUAAAUUCCUUUCCCAAAAGGUAAUACCUUAAGCUUUCCAGAGACAAUUUGAUUGCCAAGCCUUCCUUCUCCACUGUGUAGUACCGGGUUUCCCUUAGCAGCAGUUUCCUACUCAGACAUGCAAUUGACCUUUCACUGCUAGCAUCUCUUUGGGUCAGGACUACUCCAUUCCCCACAGCAGAAGCAUCCACUUGGACAAUGAACCUUUUUAUAAACUCUGGACCCUUCAGGGCAGGGCUAGCAAACAUCAUCUCUUUAAGUGUGUGGAAAGCUACUUCACAGUCAGUCUGUUGUAUUAGGUUCUUUACAGACUUACUCAGCAAGUUGGUCAAUGGGGCUGCUGUGGUGAAAAACCUUGGAAUAAACUGUCAAUACCAUCCCACCAGCCCCAAAAAGGAUCUGACCUCCUUCCUUGUCCUUGGUCUUGGGCUGUGUCAUAUGGCCUCUACCUUGUACACUUGCAGUCUUAAUUCUCCUUUACCCAAGAGAUAACAAAGGUAGUCCAUCUCUGACUUUUUGCACACACACUUUGCCAAGUUCAGGGUCAGGCCAGCCUCUUGAAUCCUCCCCAGAGUUUGCUCUAUAUGGUUUAGGUGGUCUGAGGUGUGCUUUUCACAGAUGAGUGCAGGUUCACCCUGAGCACAUGUGACAGACAUGACAGGGUCUGAAGAAGCCAUGAAGAACAUUAUGCUACCUGUAACAUUGUUCAGCAUGACCGGUUUGAUGGUGGGUCAGUAAUUGUCUGGGGAGGCAUAUCCAUGGAGCAACGCACAGACCUCUACAGGCUAGGCACCCUGACUGCGAUUAGGUAUCAGAAUGAAAUCCUUGGACCCACUGUUAGACCCUACACUGGUGCAGUGGGUCCUGGGUUCCUCCUGGUGCACGACAAUGCCCAGCCUCAUGUGGCGAGAAUAUGCAGGCAGUUCCUGGAGGAUGGAUGAAUUGAUACCAUUGAAUGGACCACACGCUCGCCUGACCUAAAUGCAAUCGAACACAAUAGGACAUUAUAUUUUGGUCCAUCCGACACUGCCAGGUUGCACCUCAGACUGUCCAGGAGCUCAGUGAUGCCCUGGUCCAGAUCUGAAAGGAAAUACCCCAGGACACCAUCUGUCGUCUCAUUAGGAGCAUGCCCCGACAUUGUCAGGCAUGCAUACAAGCUCAUGGGGCCCAUACAAACUACUGAGUAGCAUUUUGAGUUGCUGCAAAGAAAUUUCAGCAAAAUGGAAUAGGCUGCUGCAUCAUUUUUCACUUUGAUUUUCGGGGUGUCUUUGCAUUCAGCCCUCUGUAGGUUGAUAAUUUUCAUUUCCUUCAAAUGAUCAUUUGACACAUUACCUAGUCCCAGUGGCGGGCCAUGCAUUUUACACCUAGGCCUUCACUGGUGUCCUUCCUGAAUUAAUCCACCUCUAUACCUUCAUUAUGAUGCCAUGGCAAUAGAUACUAAUCAACCGUUAAAUAGCAAAGUAAAAAAGAAAUUAGUCUACAGUAUUUCACACCUCACAAGAAGUAGUCAAUUUUAUUACGGUUACUUUUCUCAAAAAAGACAUUCUUGAUGCCGUAUGCAGCAAACUGCAAUCUCCGGAGGAUGCAGCAUCCGAAAUGAGAUGCAGUGAAUAUAGAAACAAUGUCUAUGUGUGGUUCGCUGCCUCUGACUACUCCAACUAUCCAAUCAAAGGACAGGAAAUUGCUGACGUAAUCGUAUGCCUGCUAGAUGGCCCCAGUGACGCCAACUUGAAAUCUGAUGUAACAAUUUCAUUGCCACUUUUUUUACGGGCGCCUGCACUUGUUCCAGAGGGUGCUGGCAGGUGAUUCUAUGAAGCCUGCUUUAUUGUGUGUAUUUUGUGCCACGCCUUUCCUAUUGUUCUCGUUCCCGCUGUUUCACCUGUUCCCUAUUAGCCUUAAUGUUUAGCCCUAUAAAUAGGGAUCCUUUUGUACCUGUCCUUGUCGGCUAUUGUUCUAUAUUCCUUGUUUUGUUUUAUUGGCGUCAUGUCUAGUGUUUAGGUUAGUCUGGGUCUGUCUCCAUGGCAUGCCGGCAUGUGCAGCUACCACGGAGAUCUGGGUUCGAGCCCCGGGCAGGGUGGGGGCGCCCAGCUAUUACAGCACUAUUGAUUCUGAAGGCAAAUUUCUUUCACCCUGGCAACACAUGAUGUCAGCCACUGGCUGAAAUAUGAUUGGAUAAAUACUUUUAUCAUAAAUAUACACUACUGGAAGCAGCGCAACCGAGAGAACAGCUAUGAAAUGUAGAGAAUAGACUAUUGGGAAUAAUAUUAUACACAUUCAUGUAAAAAUAUAUUAAAUAUAUUAAAAUGCAAAUCAGUGAUUCAGAUCACUGCUGUUUAGGCCAGCAGAGAAGGCCUUGCUCGCCCUGACAGCCCACCACUGCCCAGUCCAUAUCAGUAUAAAUAUCCAGCACGAUAUUUUUCCCCAUUGACAUCUGAUGUGUUUUCAAAGUGUUUCUUUCAUUUUUUUAAACAGUGUAUAUUACGUCCCUUGACAGGUGCUAUUGCAACAAUAUGAUCACCUGAUCUGUAAAUAUCUACUGCAUAGAGCCCCCACCCCCACCCCCCCACACACACAUCAGGGGAUUAUAGCCAUUCAUGUAGAAUAAAAACUAAUUCAUUUCACAUUGCAAGUGUAGCUGGUGACCUUGUUUUUAUGACACAUAUUCCAACAGGAAAAGAGCACCGGUGCUCAGAACCAGGAGUGAGGAGUACAGCAAGAAUGACUCUGCUCCUGUAUACAGUAACGUCUCAGCCAUGACCUCUGACCCCACACAAACAGCCUCCUCAGAAGAUCAGGACACGGUUCAGUACUCCAGCGUUU